This 73-nucleotide transfer RNA is filed under the name Chattonella marina. RNAcentral describes it as "tRNA-Glu". It matches the Rfam family "tRNA". From Rfam's summary of the family: Transfer RNA (tRNA) molecules are approximately 80 nucleotides in length. Lineage: Eukaryota; Raphidophyceae; Chattonellales; Chattonellaceae. RNAcentral also lists the same sequence under 3 other names. The record is from RNAcentral.
GUCCUUUUCGUCUAGCAGGUUAGGACACCGCCCUUUCACGGCGGCAACACGGGUUCAAAUCCCGUAAAGGAUA